AGAGUUUGAUCAUGGCUCAGAACGAACGCUGGCGGCGUGGAUUAGGCAUGCAAGUCGAACGAGAAAGAUUCUUUCGGGAAUUGAGUAAAGUGGCAAACGGGUGAGUAGCGCGUGGGAAACCUGCCUUUCAGUUGGGGAUAACACUUCUAACGAAGUGCUAAUACCGAAUACGAUCUUUCCAUCGCAUGAUGGAUUGAUGAAAGAUGGCCUCUGUUUUAAGCUGUCACUGAUAGAUGGUCCCGCGUCCCAUUAGCUUGUUGGUGAGGUAAAGGCUCACCAAGGCGAUGAUGGGUGGCCGGCCUCAGCGGGCGAUCGGCCACACUGGGACUGAGAUACGGCCCAGACUCCUACGGGAGGCAGCAGUCGAGAGGCAUCCACAAUGGGGGAAACCCUGAUGGUGCGACGCCGCGUGGGUGAUGAAGGUUUUCGGAUCGUAAAACCCUUUCAGCAAGGGCGAAGAUGUUGGGUGUUAAUAGCGCCCGACAUUAGACGGUACUUGCAGAAGAAGCUCCGGCUAACUCCGUGCCAGCAGCCGCGGUAAGACGGGGGGAGCAAGCGUUGUUCGGAUUUACUGGGCGUAAAGGGCGUCUAGGCGGACCAGCAAGUCAGGUGUGAAAUCCCACGGCUCAACCGUGGAACUGCACUUGAAACUGUUGGUCUUGAGUACGGAAGAGGAAAGCGGAAUUCCUGGUGUAGCGGUGAAAUGCGUAGAUAUCAGGAAGAACACCGGUGGCGAAGGCGGCUUUCUGGUCCGAUACUGACGCUAAAGCGCGAAAGUGUGGGGAGCAAACAGGAUUAGAUACCCUGGUAGUCCACACUGUAAACGAUGGAUACUAGGUGUUGGGGAACCGACCUCCCCGGUGCCGAAGCUAACGCAUUAAGUAUCCCGCCUGGGGAGUACGGUCGCAAGGUUGAAACUCAAA
Molecule: ribosomal RNA, 923 nt
Filed under: uncultured delta proteobacterium
Lineage: Bacteria; Deltaproteobacteria
Description: bacterial SSU rRNA
Rfam family: Bacterial small subunit ribosomal RNA
Source: RNAcentral